GCAGUGGUUGUUCAGUAGUAGAAUUCUUGCCUUUCGUGGUGAGGGAGACCUGGGUUUGAUUCCCAGCCAAUGCA
RNAcentral lists this transfer RNA (74 nucleotides) under Loxodonta africana (African savanna elephant). It matches the Rfam family "tRNA". From Rfam's summary of the family: Transfer RNA (tRNA) molecules are approximately 80 nucleotides in length. Their secondary structure includes four short double-helical elements and three loops (D, anti-codon, and T loops). Lineage: Eukaryota; Metazoa; Chordata; Mammalia; Proboscidea; Elephantidae. The record is from Rfam by way of RNAcentral.